GAGCGUAAGAGGGAGUGGAGAACGU
RNAcentral lists this non-coding RNA (25 nucleotides) under Drosophila melanogaster (fruit fly). Lineage: Eukaryota; Metazoa; Arthropoda; Insecta; Diptera; Drosophilidae. The record is from RNAcentral.